Molecule: ribosomal RNA, 484 nt
Filed under: uncultured bacterium
Lineage: Bacteria
Description: partial 16S ribosomal RNA
Rfam family: Bacterial small subunit ribosomal RNA
Source: RNAcentral
AUUGAACGCUGGCGGCAGGCCUAACACAUGCAAGUCGAGCGGAUGAAGGGAGCUUGCUCCUGGAUUCAGCGGCGGACGGGUGAGUAAUGCCUAGGAAUCUGCCUGGUAGUGGGGGAUAACGUCCAGAAACGGGCGCUAAUACCGCAUACGUCCUGAGGGAGAAAGUGGGGGAUCUUCGGACCUCACGCUAUCAGAUGAGCCUAGGUCGGAUUAGCUAGUUGGUGGGGUAAAGGCCUACCAAGGCGACGAUCCGUAACUGGUCUGAGAGGAUGAUCAGUCACACUGGAACUGAGACACGGUCCAGACUCCUACGGGAGGCAGCAGUGGGGAAUAUUGGACAAUGGGCGAAAGCCUGAUCCAGCCAUGCCGCGUGUGUGAAGAAGGUCUUCGGAUUGUAAAGCCCUUUAAGUUGGGAGGAAGGGCAGUAAGUUAAUACCUUGCUGUUUUGACGUUACCAACAGAAUAAGCACCGGCUAACUUCGUG